GUCUCCACCCACAGCUGAGCAGCGUUCUCCACUGUCUGCCCACUGGAGACCACAUUGAAUUCAGGGUGUGUGUGAUGCUGAUUUUCAAGUCCCUUAGAUAGAGUGCAACCUCUUUUCGUCAGAACUGAGAUGGCACUGUCACGCUUGUGAUCUGCACUGGAGGGACGCUGGUGUAAUCUGGAGCCUAGGCCUCUCCAAGUCUUAGAAAGAGCUCCAGCUUCCUUUCUGGAGGAACACUAUUUGUGCUCAUGUGUGUGCAUGGAAGAUGAUCAGGAAAGGAGAGGAAGAUGCGUGUUUGCAGGAUAACUGACUCAAUGCACUGCAAUCCAAUUCAGCCUAGGAGCCUGCAGCUCUGAAAUGAUAAGGUUUACCAAAUGAAGCUUUAUAAGAAUUUCCUACUGAUGACAAUGCCAAACUCCCCUUCAGGAAGUUGGAGAGUUAGACACCCAUUUUAACAGUGGUUGAACCUGACAGUGACUGCGCCAGAGACCAACGAAGACCAUCCUGGGAAGGACUGCUGCGCUCCUUUUGAGUGAACAGCAAAGAUAACACCAUCCAAGUGAAUAUCUAAGUAAAGUCGAUGGAAGUUCUAUCAGUGCCUCUGGCGUGGUCAGGGUUUUACCUGAUGACCAAGGCUGGCAUGAAUUUGUACCACUGCUUUGAAAGUGAAAGAAUUAGACCCAGGUGUUUCUAAGGCUGCAUUUGGCCAAAGAUU
Long non-coding RNA from Nothoprocta perdicaria, 715 nucleotides. RefSeq lists it as uncharacterized. The record is from RefSeq and is a predicted model, not a curated record. Lineage: Eukaryota; Metazoa; Chordata; Aves; Tinamiformes; Tinamidae. The transcript is spliced from 5 exons.